CGGGAAAAGCUCAAAUUUAAAAUCUGGCAGUCUUUGGCUGUCCGAGUUGUAAUUUAGAGAAGUGUUACCCGUGCUGGACUAUGUAAAAGUCUUCUGGAAUGAAGCAUCAUGGAGGGUGAGAAUCCCGUCUU
RNAcentral lists this ribosomal RNA (131 nucleotides) under Henningsomyces candidus. RNAcentral's name for it is "partial large subunit ribosomal RNA". It matches the Rfam family "Eukaryotic large subunit ribosomal RNA", at positions 99 to 227 of the family's 3401-position model. Lineage: Eukaryota; Fungi; Basidiomycota; Agaricomycetes; Agaricales; Schizophyllaceae. The record is from RNAcentral.